AUAAAUGCUGUGAAGGGAAGAGUAAUUAUAUUUUGAAGUUAAAGCGAGCUGGUUAUGGUGGGAGUCCAGUACAGAUUUUAUAAUGAAAAACAUCCUCGAGCUACUAAGAGAAAUCUUUUAAGAGAGUAGAUUUAGUCGGAACCAAACCGUUAUCAUAUUGGUGAUGUAUGAUAGUACAUCAAUAGAGUUGAACUUGAUGAAAGUUAAAUUAGGUGGUACCGCGGAAGUAUAGUCUUUCGUCCUAAGU
This 247-nucleotide non-coding RNA is filed under the name Terrisporobacter mayombei. Its description in RNAcentral is "T-box". It matches the Rfam family "T-box leader". From Rfam's summary of the family: Uncharged tRNA acts as the effector for transcription antitermination of genes in the T-box leader family. T-boxes are found upstream of many aminoacyl-tRNA synthetase genes and some amino acid biosynthetic genes usually in Gram-positive bacteria. The record is from RNAcentral. Lineage: Bacteria; Bacillati; Bacillota; Clostridia; Peptostreptococcales; Peptostreptococcaceae.